GAUGAACGCUAGCGACAGGCCUAACACAUGCAAGUCGAGGGGCAGCGGGGAGGUAGCAAUACCUUUGCCGGCGACCGGCGCACGGGUGAGUAACACGUAUGCAAUCCACCUGUAACAGGGGGAUAACCCGGAGAAAUCCGGACUAAUACCCCAUAAUAUGGGCUCUCCGCAUGGAGGGUCCAUUAAAGAGAGCAAUCUUGGUUACAGACGAGCAUGCGCUCCAUUAGCCAGUUGGCGGGGUGACGGCCCACCAAGGCGACGAUGGAUAGGGGUUCUGAGAGGAAGGUCCCCCACAUUGGAACUGAGACACGGUCCAAACUCCUACGGGAGGCAGCAGUGAGGAAUAUUGGUCAAUGGUCGGCAGACUGAACCAGCCAAGUCGCGUGAGGGAAGACGGCCCUACGGGUUGUAAACCUCUUUUGUCGGAGAGUAAAGUACGCUACGUGUAGUGUAUUGCAAGUAUCCGAAGAAAAAGCAUCGGCUAACUCCGUG
RNAcentral lists this ribosomal RNA (492 nucleotides) under uncultured bacterium. Its description in RNAcentral is "bacterial SSU rRNA". It matches the Rfam family "Bacterial small subunit ribosomal RNA", at positions 28 to 507 of the family's 1533-position model. The record is from RNAcentral.